CAUGAAGUUGGAAUCGCUAGUAAUCGCGGAUCAGCAUGCCGCGGUGAAUACGUUCCCGGGCCUUGUACACACCGCCCGUCACACCAUGAGAGUCGGGAACACCCGAAGUCCGUAGCCUGACCGCGAAGGGGGGGCGGCCGGCCGAAGGUGGGUUCGAUAAUUGGGGUGAAGUCGUAACAAGGUAAC
Molecule: ribosomal RNA, 186 nt
Filed under: uncultured bacterium
Lineage: Bacteria
Description: partial 16S ribosomal RNA
Rfam family: Bacterial small subunit ribosomal RNA
Source: RNAcentral